ACGGAAGGCAGCAGUGGGGAAUAUUGCACAAUGGGGGAAACCCUGAUGCAGCGACGCCGCGUGAGUGAUGAAGUAUUUCGAUAUGUAAAGCUCUAUCAGCAGGGAAGAAAAUGACGGUACCUGACUAAGAAGCCCCGGCUAACUACGUGCCAGCAGCCGCGGUAAUACGUAGGGGGCAAGCGUUAUCCGGAUUUACUGGGUGUAAAGGGAGUGUAGGUGGCCAUGCAAGUCAGAAGUGAAAGCCCGGGGCUCAACCCCGGGACUGCUUUUGGAACUGUAAGGCUUGAGUGCAGGAGAGGUAAGCGGAAUUCCUAGUGUAGCGGUGAAAUGCGUAGAUAUUAGGAGGAACACCAGUGGCGAAGGCGGCUUACUGGACUGUAACUGACACUGAGGCUCGAAAGCGUGGGGAGCAAACAGGAUUAGAUACCCUGGUA
RNAcentral lists this ribosomal RNA (434 nucleotides) under uncultured Clostridium sp. Its description in RNAcentral is "partial 16S ribosomal RNA". It matches the Rfam family "Bacterial small subunit ribosomal RNA", at positions 341 to 792 of the family's 1533-position model. Lineage: Bacteria; Bacillati; Bacillota; Clostridia; Eubacteriales; Clostridiaceae. The record is from RNAcentral.